This is a small nucleolar RNA of Beta vulgaris subsp. vulgaris (sugar beet), 106 nucleotides long. The record is from RefSeq and is a predicted model, not a curated record. NCBI's taxonomy places the organism in Eukaryota, Viridiplantae, Streptophyta, Magnoliopsida, Caryophyllales, Amaranthaceae.
AACUCGUGGUGAGAGCAUGAACGGAACAUCUCCUUGAACCGCUCCCAAGGUUCUGCAAGUGUCUCAUCACUCGCUUGCUCAAAUGAGGAGAUCUUCCUCCGUAUGU